UUAAAAAUUAAGUAGGGUGAUUUUUUUAUGUAUUUAUUUUUUUUUUUACAUGGUAUUUUUUUAUAUUUAUUUUUAUUUUGUUUUUUUAGGUUCAGUUCUGUAUCCAGCGAUCGUCUCCACUCUUGUAUUGUUACUAUUAGUACUAAUGUGUGUUCUGCUGUUUGUUAUCAGGACUCAGACGAAUCACUGUAAGCCGAAAGUUGGGUUAAUAGAUGAAAACAACACAGUUGCGAUGAUUCAGCCUCCGACUGAAGAAGGAAAUGAGGCACCAAACACAACAGAAGAGAGCAUUUAUGCAAAUGUUGAAAGGUUGAGAGAGGCAGGCGUUGUUGACCCUAAAGUAGUUGCUGAGCCAAGUAGCACCAACUUGCCAAGCGCUGAGCCAGUGGGUGCAAGAGGAAGCAAAAACUCUGAGAAC
Molecule: long non-coding RNA, 418 nt
Organism: Astatotilapia calliptera (eastern happy)
Lineage: Eukaryota; Metazoa; Chordata; Actinopteri; Cichliformes; Cichlidae
Source: Ensembl